RNAcentral lists this ribosomal RNA (569 nucleotides) under Fusarium oxysporum. Its description in RNAcentral is "eukaryotic LSU rRNA". It matches the Rfam family "Eukaryotic large subunit ribosomal RNA", at positions 1 to 580 of the family's 3401-position model. Lineage: Eukaryota; Fungi; Ascomycota; Sordariomycetes; Hypocreales; Nectriaceae. The record is from RNAcentral.
UUGACCUCGGAUCAGGUAGGAAUACCCGCUGAACUUAAGCAUAUCAAUAAGCGGAGGAAAAGAAACCAACAGGGAUUGCCCUAGUAACGGCGAGUGAAGCGGCAACAGCUCAAAUUUGAAAUCUGGCUCUCGGGCCCGAGUUGUAAUUUGUAGAGGAUACUUUUGAUGCGGUGCCUUCCGAGUUCCCUGGAACGGGACGCCAUAGAGGGUGAGAGCCCCGUCUGGUUGGAUGCCAAAUCUCUGUAAAGUUCCUUCAACGAGUCGAGUAGUUUGGGAAUGCUGCUCUAAAUGGGAGGUAUAUGUCUUCUAAAGCUAAAUACCGGCCAGAGACCGAUAGCGCACAAGUAGAGUGAUCGAAAGAUGAAAAGCACUUUGAAAAGAGAGUUAAAAAGUACGUGAAAUUGUUGAAAGGGAAGCGUUUAUGACCAGACUUGGGCUUGGUUAAUCAUCUGGGGUUCUCCCCAGUGCACUUUUCCAGUCCAGGCCAGCAUCAGUUUUCCCCGGGGGAUAAAGGCGGCGGGAAUGUGGCUCUCUUCGGGGAGUGUUAUAGCCCACCGUGUAAUGCCCUG